This 95-nucleotide transfer RNA is filed under the name Felis catus (domestic cat). It matches the Rfam family "tRNA". From Rfam's summary of the family: Transfer RNA (tRNA) molecules are approximately 80 nucleotides in length. Their secondary structure includes four short double-helical elements and three loops (D, anti-codon, and T loops). The record is from Rfam by way of RNAcentral. Lineage: Eukaryota; Metazoa; Chordata; Mammalia; Carnivora; Felidae.
GCCUGGGUGGCUCAGUCGGUUAAGCACCUGACUCUGGCUCAGGUCUUGAUCUUGUGGUUCGUGAGUUUUCGUGAGUUUGAGUCCCACAUCAGGCU